RNAcentral lists this ribosomal RNA (909 nucleotides) under uncultured archaeon. Its description in RNAcentral is "bacterial SSU rRNA". It matches the Rfam family "Archaeal small subunit ribosomal RNA", at positions 21 to 903 of the family's 1478-position model. The record is from RNAcentral.
CCUGACUGCUAUCGGAGUAAGACUAAGCCAUGCAAGUCGACGCCCCUAGCUGCCGGUGGGGCGUGGCGCACCGCUCAGUAACACGUAGUCAACCUACCCCGUGGACGGGGACAAAGUCGGGAAACUGACUGUAAUCCCCGAUAGGAGAGGGGAUCUGGAACGCCCCUUCUCCCAAAGGCUUACGGAACCGUGCAUCCGUGGGCGCCGCGGGAUGGGACUGCGACCGAUCAGGUAGAUGGUGGGGUAACGGCCCACCAUGCCGAUAACCGGUACGGGCCCUGAGAGGGGGAGCCCGGAGAUGGACCCUGAGACAAUGGUCCAGGCCCUACGGGGCGCAGCAGGCGCGAAAACUCCGCAAUGCGCGCAAGCGUGACGGGGGAAUCCCAAGUGCCGUUGGUCUUAUGAUCGACGGUUUUUAGGAAGUCUAAGAAGCUUCCAGAAUAAGGGCUGGGCAAGACUGGUGCCAGCCGCCGCGGUAACACCAGCAGCCCAAGUGGUGACCACGAUUAUUGGGCCUAAAGCGCUCGUAGCCGGAUCAGCAAGUCCCUUGUGAAAUCGGGCCGCCUAACGGUUCGGCGUGCAAGGGAUACUGUUGGUCUUGAGGCCGGGAGAGGUCGGAGGUACUCCUGGGGUAGCGGUGAAAUGCUCUAAUCCUAGGGGGACCACCAGUGGCGAAGGCGUCCGACCAGAACGGACCUGACGGUGAGGGGCGAAGGCUAGGGGAGCGAACGGGAUUAGAUACCCCGGUAGUCCUAGCUGUAAAGCAUGCGGGCCAGGUGUCUAGCGCUCCUUGAGGGCGCUAGGUGCCGGAGGGAAGCCGUUAAGCCCGCCGCCUGGGAAGUACGGCCGCAAGGCUGAAACUUAAAGAAAUUGGCGGGGGAGCACCACAAGAGGUGGGACCUGCGGUUC